AGUGAUCGCUGGCGGUAGGCCUAACACAUGCAAGUCGAACGGCAGCACAGUAAGAGCUUGCUCUUACGGGUGGCGAGUGGCGGACGGGUGAGGAAUACAUCGGAAUCUACUUUUUCGUGGGGGAUAACGUAGGGAAACUUACGCUAAUACCGCAUACGACCUACGGGUGAAGGCAGGGGAUCUUCGGACCUUGCGCGAUUGAAUGAGCCGAUGUCGGAUUAGCUAGUUGGCGGGGUAAAGGCCCACCAAGGCGACGAUCCGUAGCUGGUCUGAGAGGAUGAUCAGCCACACUGGAACUGAGACACGGUCCAGACUCCUACGGGAGGCAGCAGUGGGGAAUAUUGGACAAUGGGCGCAAGCCUGAUCCAGCCAUACCGCGUGGGUGAAGAAGGCCUUCGGGUUGUAAAGCCCUUUUGUUGGGAAAGAAAAGCAGCAGGUUAAUACCCCGCUGUUCUGACGGUACCCAAAGAAUAAGCACCGGCUAACUUCGUG
RNAcentral lists this ribosomal RNA (492 nucleotides) under uncultured bacterium. RNAcentral's name for it is "partial 16S ribosomal RNA". It matches the Rfam family "Bacterial small subunit ribosomal RNA", at positions 29 to 507 of the family's 1533-position model. The record is from RNAcentral.